GUCUAUGGCCAUGCUACCCUGAACAAGCCUGUUGUCUGAUCAUGGAAGCUAAGCAGAGUCAGACCUGGUUAGUACUUGGAUGGGAGACCACUUAGGAAAGACCAGGUGCUGUAGGCA
Molecule: ribosomal RNA, 117 nt
Filed under: Pteropus alecto (black flying fox)
Lineage: Eukaryota; Metazoa; Chordata; Mammalia; Chiroptera; Pteropodidae
Source: RNAcentral